Molecule: ribosomal RNA, 200 nt
Filed under: uncultured bacterium
Lineage: Bacteria
Description: partial 16S ribosomal RNA
Rfam family: Bacterial small subunit ribosomal RNA
Source: RNAcentral
AGAGUUUGAUCCUGGCUCAGAAUUAACGCUGGCAGCGUGCAUAACACAUGCAAGUCGAGCGGAAUACUUGUUAUAGCAAUAUAGUAAGUGUUUAGCGGCAAACGAGUGAGUAACACGUAAGAAAUCUCCCCCAAAGAAAGGAAUAAUUUGCCGAAAGGCAGACUAAUACCUUAUAUAAUCCUCUGGCGGCAUCGCCUAGG